CGUUCUACGCCUUCGGGCUCCAGACGCGGGUGAGCAAUUUAGCUGCACGCGCACUCACACCCGCUCUCCCCCGCCCCGUCCUCGAAUUAUCGGGACGUGCCCAGCCCCAUGCACCGCAGGUUAACACUAACGCUUGAUUUUGGCCUGUCGUCGGCAGUUACCUGAUCGCAACUCAACCCGUGCAUGUUUCUUAAUGGACUUGUCUGUGCAGUGAAUUAUUCAUAAAGGACAAGACUAAAUAAAAUCCAUAGCAGGAGGUGCCAGGCUUCUGAGCGUGGAACAACACUCGGGAACAUCUAUGCCCAGACGUACAUGUGUGAUAAUAACUUUGGUCAGUCGUGUCUGCCACCUUUCCUCCCUUCUUGCUUCGUCGUUACUAUUAACACUGGUAAGUUCUCCCUUUCUAAAAAUAGCCUGUAUGUGUUCAGAGCGGCGUUACAAAAAAACUGAAACAAUAACAGUUUCAAUCCCAUUCUAUAAAGUAAAGUGAUUUACUUUUUUGUAAACAAACAUUUCAGUAGUUUUCAUUUUCAGGCUGCUUUAAUCUAAGAAAAAAAAUGCACAUCGCCAAAAGAACUUUCAAUCUAAUAUUGUGAAACUUCUAAAACACUUUGCUUGAAUCUUAGACAUUUGUUGAUCGUGAGCAGCCUUCACUGGCCUGUAACUCUUUGAGGAUGUAGCGGACACAUAUAUCAGUUCAGCAGCAAACCAAAAUCAAUGUGUCAAAAUAUAAACGAAAAAUCUAUUCAAAUGAUGAAGUUAUAUCUCAAAACAGCGUAUCUUUAAGCGUUGUAAAAUAACCAAAAUCCAUGGCCUCAAUGAGUUAAUGUGCUCUUUAGUACCAUUCUUCUAUUGUAAUAAUCUAGUUGAUAGCCUCCGGUUCUACAGUGUAUCUUCAACUUUAGAUAGAUCUGGGCGAAAGAAACGCGAACUGAAACCUGAGAUUCCAAUAAAUUGCCCGCAUUACAAUGUUAUAGAGAAGGAUUAACUUAGCAUCAACUGUGUAGGAACAUGCUGGCAUUAAUAUUUCGCUUCACAGUCUACAUCGAAUGAACUUCAGCAACCAGGAACCGAUAGCGCGUUAUUUGAACAGGGUUUUAACAGAGAAUGCUGCUAUGACUCGUUCCUACUGCUUGUCUCAUUGCAUGUUGUUCGCUUUUAAUUAUCUAGAUAUAGUAGAAUCAUGUGUAGACAAUAUCAAGCAAAGUAUUUAUAUCCUCUGUAACAAAACUGAAGGAUCACUUUCAGUCUUUAUGAGAAGCAUAUUAUUAUAUUUUGAAGGGAUAUAAAGUUUUCGCAAAAGAUCAAUGUAUAGCUUGUAAUUUUUACGAAGGAUUCUGAUAUAUUCUCAUAAAAUCACUCAUCAAGUAGCCCCUCCCCC
Aplysia californica (California sea hare) is the source of this 1381-nucleotide long non-coding RNA. RefSeq lists it as uncharacterized. Lineage: Eukaryota; Metazoa; Mollusca; Gastropoda; Aplysiida; Aplysiidae. The record is from RefSeq and is a predicted model, not a curated record. The transcript is spliced from 2 exons.